This is a non-coding RNA of Camellia sinensis, 85 nucleotides long. The record is from the annotation of a RefSeq genome assembly. NCBI's taxonomy places the organism in Eukaryota, Viridiplantae, Streptophyta, Magnoliopsida, Ericales, Theaceae.
GUCAGGAUGGCCGAGUGGUCUAAGGCGCCAGACUCAAGUUCUGGUCUUCGUGAGAAGGGCGUGGGUUCAAAUCCCACUUCUGACA